Molecule: ribosomal RNA, 253 nt
Filed under: uncultured bacterium
Lineage: Bacteria
Description: partial 16S ribosomal RNA
Rfam family: Bacterial small subunit ribosomal RNA
Source: RNAcentral
UACGUAGGGGGCAAGCGUUGUCCGGAUUUAUUGGGCGUAAAGAGCGUGUAGGCGGCUUGGUAGGUCCGCUGUGAAAACUCGAGGCUCAACCUCGAGAUGUCGGCGGAAACCACUUGGCUAGAGUCCGGAAGAGGAGAGUGGAAUUCCCGGUGUAGCGGUGAAAUGCGCAGAUAUCGGGAAGAGCACCUAUGGCGAAGGCAGCUCUCUGGGACGGUACUGACGCUGAGACGCGAAAGCGUGGGGAGCGAACAGG